CACGUAGGGUGCGAGCGUUGUCCGGAAUUAUUGGGUGUAAAGAGCUCGUAGGCGGUGUGUCGCGUCGGCCGUGAAAACCUGCAGCUUAACUGUGGGCUUGCGGUCGAUACGGGCAUCACUGGAGUUCGGCAGGGGAGACUGGAAUUCCUGGUGUAGCGGUGAAAUGCGCAGAUAUCAGGAGGAACACCGGUGGCGAAGGCGGGUCUCUGGGCCGAUACUGACGCUGAGGAGCGAAAGCGUGGGGAGCGAACAGG
RNAcentral lists this ribosomal RNA (254 nucleotides) under uncultured bacterium. RNAcentral's name for it is "partial 16S ribosomal RNA". It matches the Rfam family "Bacterial small subunit ribosomal RNA", at positions 524 to 776 of the family's 1533-position model. The record is from RNAcentral.